UAUGUAGGGUGCGAGCGUUAAUCGGAAUUACUGGGCGUAAAGUGUGCGCAGGCGGCCGAGCAAGUCGAGUGUGAAAGCCCCGAGCUUAACUUGGGAACUGCGCUCGAAACUACUUGGCUAGAGUGUGGCAGAGGGAGGUGGAAUUCCACGUGUAGCGGUGAAAUGCGUAGAGAUGUGGAGGAACACCGAUGGCGAAGGCAGCCUCCUGGGCCAACACUGACGCUCAUGCACGAAAGCGUGGGGAGCAAACAGG
Molecule: ribosomal RNA, 253 nt
Filed under: uncultured bacterium
Lineage: Bacteria
Description: partial 16S ribosomal RNA
Rfam family: Bacterial small subunit ribosomal RNA
Source: RNAcentral